Molecule: ribosomal RNA, 912 nt
Filed under: uncultured bacterium
Lineage: Bacteria
Description: bacterial SSU rRNA
Rfam family: Bacterial small subunit ribosomal RNA
Source: RNAcentral
AGAGUUUGAUCCUGGCUCAGGACGAACGCUGGCGGCGUGCCUAAUACAUGCAAGUCGAGCGAGCUUGCCUAGAUGAUUUUAGUGCUUGCACUAAAUGAAACUAGAUACAAGCGAGCGGCGGACGGGUGAGUAACACGUGGGUAACCUGCCCAAGAGACUGGGAUAACACCUGGAAACAGAUGCUAAUACCGGAUAACAACACUAGACGCAUGUCUAGAGUUUGAAAGAUGGUUCUGCUAUCACUCUUGGAUGGACCUGCGGUGCAUUAGCUAGUUGGUAAGGUAACGGCUUACCAAGGCAAUGAUGCAUAGCCGAGUUGAGAGACUGAUCGGCCACAUUGGGACUGAGACACGGCCCAAACUCCUACGGGAGGCAGCAGUAGGGAAUCUUCCACAAUGGACGAAAGUCUGAUGGAGCAACGCCGCGUGAGUGAAGAAGGGUUUCGGCUCGUAAAGCUCUGUUGGUAGUGAAGAAAGAUAGAGGUAGUAACUGGCCUUUAUUUGACGGUAAUUACUUAGAAAGUCACGGCUAACUACGUGCCAGCAGCCGCGGUAAUACGUAGGUGGCAAGCGUUGUCCGGAUUUAUUGGGCGUAAAGCGAGUGCAGGCGGUUCAAUAAGUCUGAUGUGAAAGCCUUCGGCUCAACCGGAGAAUUGCAUCAGAAACUGUUGAACUUGAGUGCAGAAGAGGAGAGUGGAACUCCAUGUGUAGCGGUGGAAUGCGUAGAUAUAUGGAAGAACACCAGUGGCGAAGGCGGCUCUCUGGUCUGCAACUGACGCUGAGGCUCGAAAGCAUGGGUAGCGAACAGGAUUAGAUACCCUGGUAGUCCAUGCCGUAAACGAUGAGUGCUAAGUGUUGGGAGGUUUCCGCCUCUCAGUGCUGCAGCUAACGCAUUAAGCACUCCGCCUGGGGA